UUACACGUUUUUGACAAUUUUAUUACAGAACACGUUUUUAAAAACAUUUAAAUUUAUGAUAGCCUCAGCCUUGUAUGGUGACACAGUGAGUCUACAAUUUUUUAAAUAUCUUAUGUAGAAAUCGAAGCGGUUCGUCGCGUCUUGUAUGACCUGGAGCCCGAGGCGGCCCGACCCGAAUGGUGAAUUUUUGCCCGUCUGCCUUUUGAUUUUACGUUUACGUUACCGGAAAGUAGGUUGUUCUGCUUCCGCUUCUGCUCGUCCGUAAGCACCGCACUGAAAACGUAAUCCCCGUCAUCCUUAUCACCGUUAACCUUGGUCACCGCAUCACUCUUAUCACCAGCACCGUUUUUAUCAUUAGCACCCUCGCCGGCGCCCGCGGACGGCUUCUUGUACCGAAACUUGUUGAUCAUAUUACCGGAUCGACAUAACAAACACACUGGCAAACACCCGAACGUGCGCAACGGGGCUAUGGUGGUACGCAACGACCGAUGGUACCAGCACUGACUGCGCGACCGAUGGGUUUGAACUUUGCAUGGGCAAUGGCGAGAGAGAACGAGAGAGGUUUCGUUAGAGGUGCACACUCGGGGGCACACAGAUGUGUUUGCGAAUCUAUCAGCUGUUUCAGGCAUGAUUUGUUCUUGCACUCGCCGGAUGUGUAUCCUUCAAGAGCUAUUUACCAAGAGGAAAUUAUUUUGUGUAAUAAGUCUACAGGAUACAAUAAAUUACACCAAUUAAAUGACAUUUCCAUCACAUUUCGCCACGUCUAAACUGACAUCUUAAGCCAUAAACUGACAAAAAGACAAUUUUUUCAGUUUUAUUACUGUUGGCGUCGAAAACAUAACGUUUUUGAGGAAAGACCAAGAAAGUUAGUUUGGUGCCCCGUAAAACUACCUGCCUAAUCUACCUGUUACGAAACAAACGGACAAAAGGGCACGUUGUCAAGGUGCAAGUUAUAGACAACCAGUGACGUCCGUCAACCAGCCAACAUUUCCUCAGAGCCUUUGUUCCCUGCGUUUGGUAACUGGAUGAUUCAUUACAGAAAUACGUCGUGUACAAGAACAACGUUACAGUUCUAACCAAUGACUCAUGAAUAAUCAUAAAAUUUACCAAUUUUCAUUUUACAUUUUGGCGGUUUUAUUUAAAGUUUACUACGAUAAAGUGGGUCGUGGUGUUUCGACACGGUUUUUGAAUGGUACAGAGUCACUUUCUAUGAACCGAACACCGUGUUUUGUAAUACAAUCUCGAUGAUAAUUAUAAGAUGACUAUGUUAAUGUGACUAGUCGUUCCACAUAAAAGUCCGACACACGUGAACCGUUAUUUAUUUUACUAUUAUUAUUAUUAUUUAAUUUUUUUCUGAUCAAACUAAUUACGUUUGGUUUCUAAUUAAUUCAUGGUUUGCACGUGCACAUCAAUGGAAAUUCUUCAGCUAUUAGAUAAUUUUUAUUUUGGCAAGUUAUAAACAACAACUUAAAGCAUUAGGGUUUGGUCAAAUAAUUAAUUAAUUAUUUUUACAACGUAAAAUAAGUAACGUUCAUUAUUGAAAAUAUUAAAAUAUAUUGUGGUGACCUCGAGAAAGGAUUUUAGGCGUCAUAUAAAAAUACCUUAGAGCCUAAAAGUGAUGAGAGACAGACACCAUCACAUGUGACCUGGAUGCAU
Aethina tumida (small hive beetle) is the source of this 1656-nucleotide long non-coding RNA. RefSeq lists it as uncharacterized. The transcript is spliced from 3 exons. The record is from RefSeq and is a predicted model, not a curated record. Lineage: Eukaryota; Metazoa; Arthropoda; Insecta; Coleoptera; Nitidulidae.